AGAUGCCACUAAGAGAUC
Molecule: microRNA, 18 nt
Filed under: Drosophila pseudoobscura pseudoobscura
Lineage: Eukaryota; Metazoa; Arthropoda; Insecta; Diptera; Drosophilidae
Description: mir-3983-RA
Source: RNAcentral